CACAAAGGAGUUUGCGAUUUAGGAUUUUUUUGUGGUAGUGCGAUUUGUUGAUUCACGGUGAAUUUGAGUUCGAUUUAGGUUUCUAUGGUGGUGGCAUGAAGGUUUUGUGAUAGGUAGUGUCAUAGUGAUGGUGAAAAGAUUCUCAGUUUAGGUUUUCUCAAGAAUAAAUUUGAUAAUUUGAUAAUUAUUUGAUUUACAAUGAAAGUGAUUGAAAUUUAUGAGUUUCUACAAAAAUAUUUGAU
Molecule: long non-coding RNA, 242 nt
Filed under: Vigna radiata
Lineage: Eukaryota; Viridiplantae; Streptophyta; Magnoliopsida; Fabales; Fabaceae
Description: long non-coding RNA (VRAD_LNC002228)
Source: RNAcentral